Small nucleolar RNA from Carya illinoinensis, 108 nucleotides. The record is from RefSeq and is a predicted model, not a curated record. Lineage: Eukaryota; Viridiplantae; Streptophyta; Magnoliopsida; Fagales; Juglandaceae.
AAUCCAUGUUGAGGGUAGCAUCAAAUCAAAUCUUUAUACUUUUUCCCACGCUUCAUAGAGUGACUCAAAAUCAUUUUGCUUGAAUCGACCAAUCUCACUCCUAAGUUG